This 330-nucleotide ribosomal RNA is filed under the name Bacillus velezensis. RNAcentral describes it as "bacterial SSU rRNA". It matches the Rfam family "Bacterial small subunit ribosomal RNA", at positions 1 to 324 of the family's 1533-position model. The record is from RNAcentral. Lineage: Bacteria; Bacillati; Bacillota; Bacilli; Caryophanales; Bacillaceae.
CUUAAAUUGAAGAGUUUGAUCAUGGCUCAGAUUGAACGCUGGCGGCAGGCCUAACACAUGCAAGUCGAGCGGCAGCGGAAAGUAGCUUGCUACUUUGCCGGCGAGCGGCGGACGGGUGAGUAAUGUCUGGGGAUCUGCCUGAUGGAGGGGGAUAACUACUGGAAACGGUAGCUAAUACCGCAUAACCUCGCAAGAGCAAAGUGGGGGACCUUCGGGCCUCACGCCAUCGGAUGAACCCAGAUGGGAUUAGCUAGUAGGUGGGGUAAUGGCUCACCUAGGCGACGAUCCCUAGCUGGUCUGAGAGGAUGACCAGCCACACUGGAACUGAGA